RNAcentral lists this long non-coding RNA (2033 nucleotides) under Homo sapiens (human). RNAcentral's name for it is "HSALNT0269272". The record is from RNAcentral. Lineage: Eukaryota; Metazoa; Chordata; Mammalia; Primates; Hominidae.
GUCUUGGUGGUGCUUGCCUGUAAUUGCAGCUACUUAGAAGGCUGAGACAGGCGAAUCGCUUGAACCCAGGAGGCAGAAGUUGCAGUGAGCCGAGAUCGUACCACUGCACUCCAGCCUGUACAACAGAGCAAGACUCCAUCUCAAAAUAAAUACACACACACACACACACACACACACACAUAAAUCCUUGACCAAAAUAAAUACACACACACACACACACACACACACACACACACACACACAAAUCCUUGACAUAAUGUGAUGAGAAGGGUGCUUCACCUCUGGAGUCUUCUUCCAAUACACUAUAGCCCCAAUCUAAUCAUGAGUAAAGCAUCACAUGAAUCCCCAUUGAGGGGAUAUUCUUAAAAAGUACUUGACUAGUAAACCUCAAACAUUUCAGAGUUAUCAAAAGCAAGGAAAGUUUGAGAAGCUUUCACAGCCAAGAAGAGCCUGAAGAGACAUGAUAAACAAAUAAAAUGGUGAAUCCUGGAUGCAGCCCUGGAAAAACAACAAAGCGACCUCAGGUUAUGUCUUCUUUUAUAAGACUACCCACUGCCUCUUCUCAAGUAUAUCUGAAGUAUGGCUGGUUGGAGUAUAUCAGGACCCUCAGAGGAGAAAAGCAUAUAAAACCAGCACACCUGAACCCAGGCUUUCCAGCAAGUGCUCUUGGUAAAACGAUCUUGACAAAGUUUUGGAGAGAAGAGUGAUGCUCCAACAUAAAACAGUCUGGAAUUAAGCAGCCGAGCUGUAUUCACAGUUGCUCUUCACAUUUGUCAGAAACGUGGAGCUGAUUAAAUAGAGGGUGACCUGCUUUCAGUUGGGAAGUUAUAACCAGUGGCCGAAUGAGAACAAUAUUUUCCCUAUAAAAAGAACAGAAGAGCCAAGGAUUCUUCAAAGAUUCCUGGGCACUGAGAAAACAACAAUCGAACUGCAUUUCACAUCACUCUGAAGGAAACAGAGAGGGAGAAUUCCUCAGCUGGAGUUCAAAUUGGCCUUUCUACAGUUCUUUCCGAAUGGCCCCAGGAUUCUUUUCUGACUUCAUGAGGACAACACUUCAGAUGAGAGAGCUCCUCUGUGUGCAUCCUCCAAGUUUAUCUGCUAAACCAAGAUAAACAUCCCCGGUUCCUCUUUUUAAGUUUUUAAGUGCUGGAGUACAUGUGCAGGAUGUGCAGGUUUGUUGCAUAGGUAAACAUGUGCCAUGGUGGUUUGUUGCACUCAUCAACCCAUCACCUAGGUAUUGAGCCCAGCAUGCAGUAGCUAUUUUUCCUGAUGCUCUCCCUCCCCCAGCCCUACUCCCCUGACAGGCCCCAGUGUGUGUUGUUCCCCUCCCUGUGUUCAUGUGUUCCCAUUGUUCAGCUACCACUUAUAAGUGAGAACAUGUGGUAUUCGGUUUUCUGUCCCUGCAUUCGUUUUCUGAGGAUAAUGGCUUCCAACUCCAUCCAUGUUCCUGCAAAGGACAUGAGCUUGUUCUUUUUUAUGGCUGCAUAGUAUUCCAUGGUGUAUAUAUACCACAUUUUCUUUAUCCAGUCUAUCCUGAUGGGCAUUUGGGUUGAUUCCCUGUCUUUGCUAUUGUGAAUAGCGCAACUUGCUUUAUUUCUUUUUUCAAAUUCACAUAAUUGUAAAUGGCAAGGCUGAAGUUCUCUUAACAUUGCUUCAGAGUUUUCUUAAUGAGGAUCCCCAAAUAUAAAACCUAAUGCUUAAAGAGCAGCUUGAUAGAAAAUACAGGACACAAGUUUUUUACAAAUGAAAUUUAAUUUAGGAUUUAAAGAUAAAUGCCUGACAAAUCUAGUCAGUUAGAUGUAGUAAGAUACAGAUAAUGUAACACAUAAUAAUAUAUAAAUAGGCCAAAUUACACAUAUGCGUGUGUGUGAAGAGUAUUUGUGUAUACAAGUGUGCAUAUAUACAGAGAGAGAGAGACAAUGGUCCUCUCCAUUUUUCCCGGAAGGUGCACCCAGUUUAAAAACAAAAGUUUUGGCAAAAUGUUAAGUGUCCUCACUAAUCUUCUUAAGAAAUCCUAAAGAUCAAUAAUCUCC